RNAcentral lists this ribosomal RNA (112 nucleotides) under Sinocyclocheilus grahami. Lineage: Eukaryota; Metazoa; Chordata; Actinopteri; Cypriniformes; Cyprinidae. The record is from RNAcentral.
UGCCACAGCCAUAUCACCCUGCAGCCCAAGACUGGUUGCCCACUGAAGCUAAGCAGGGUUGAGCCUGGUCAGUACUGGAUGGGAGACCACAAACCUGUGGUCUGUGUGGGUC